UACGGAGGGUGCAAGCGUUAAUCGGAAUUACUGGGCGUAAAGCGCGCGCAGGCGGUUAUGUAAGUCUGAUGUUAAAGCCCGGGGCUCAACCUCGGUUCGCAUUGGAAACUGUGUAACUUGAGUGCAGAAGAGGAAAGUGGUAUUCCACGUGUAGCGGUGAAAUGCGUAGAUAUGUGGAGGAACACCAGUGGCGAAGGCGACUUUCUGGUCUGUAACUGACGCUGAGGCGCGAAAGCGUGGGGAGCAAACAGG
Molecule: ribosomal RNA, 252 nt
Filed under: uncultured bacterium
Lineage: Bacteria
Description: partial 16S ribosomal RNA
Rfam family: Bacterial small subunit ribosomal RNA
Source: RNAcentral